Molecule: ribosomal RNA, 513 nt
Filed under: Diplocanthopoda marina
Lineage: Eukaryota; Metazoa; Arthropoda; Arachnida; Araneae; Salticidae
Description: partial 16S ribosomal RNA
Rfam family: Bacterial large subunit ribosomal RNA (bases 124-420)
Source: RNAcentral
GUGCUAAGGUAGCAUAAUCAUUUGUCUUAUAAUUGAAGACUAGAACAAAAGAUUUAACAUCCCAAUUAAUAUUAAUAAUAUAACCAUUAAAAUUAAUAUUAAUGUAAAAAAGCAUUAAUUAUAUAGAAAGACAACAAGACCCUAUUGAACUUCACUAUAGUUAAACUGGGGCAGUAUAUUAAUAAUCAUUUUAAUAAAAUUUUUAAAACAAAAAGCUAUUAAUAAAUAAUUAAUCAGUUACCAUAGGGAUAACAGUGCUAUAUAUAUUUAAAGCUCUUAUUUAAAUAUAAUUUUACAACCUCGAUGUUGAAUUUAUAACCUAAUUAAAGAAAAAUUUAAUUAAGGUAGUCUGUUCGACUAUUAAAAAAUAACAUGAUUUGAGUUCAGACCGGUGUAAACCAGGUCGGAUUCCAUCUUCUACUAAUUAUUUUACAGUACGAAAGGACCUAAAAAAUUAAUAUCAUUUUAUAUAUGGCAGAUAAAUGCAUUAGAAUUAGAAUCUAAUAAACUAAA